UACGUAGGUGGCGAACGUUAUCCGGAAUUACUGGGCGUAAAGGGUCCGCAGGCGGGUCGCCAAGUCCGGCGUGAAAGCUCCCGGCUCAACUGGGAGAGGGCGUUGGAAACUGGCGGUCUUGAAUCUCACAGAGGUCGGUGGAAUUCCCGGUGUAGUGGUGGAAUGCGUAGAGAUCGGGAGGAACCUCGAAAGCGAAGGCAACCGGCUGGGUGAAGAUUGACGCUGAGGGACGAAAGCGUGGGGAGCGAACAGGAUUAGAAACCCCCGUAGUCC
RNAcentral lists this ribosomal RNA (273 nucleotides) under uncultured bacterium. RNAcentral's name for it is "partial 16S ribosomal RNA". It matches the Rfam family "Bacterial small subunit ribosomal RNA", at positions 524 to 796 of the family's 1533-position model. The record is from RNAcentral.